Long non-coding RNA from Thalassophryne amazonica, 2220 nucleotides. RefSeq lists it as uncharacterized. Lineage: Eukaryota; Metazoa; Chordata; Actinopteri; Batrachoidiformes; Batrachoididae. The transcript has 3 exons. The record is from RefSeq and is a predicted model, not a curated record.
GCUGACUCUCUCUCACACACACACACACGUGCACGCUGCACACCUCUAAGAAAAGUCUAGACCACAGCGAGAAGAGAAUCAACCUGACAGAGAGGCGGCUCUGAAAGCAAAGGGAUCGAUCCACAUAUACCACUUGCCUUUUGUCACAAAGCUGAAUAUUAUGGGUCGAGGAGAAAGUGAGAUAUGGGAUGAAAAGCCCAAAGACGUGGAUGAAAUGCCCCAAGAAGUUGUAGAUGUACAGCCGCAGAAAUCAGAAGUGCGAAAGGAAAAAAAUUCAGAGAAUGGCUGCAAGAAGUGCUGCCUGAAAACAAGGAACUGUCUGAUGAGCGGAGAGUGCGGCCGCUGUCUUCAGAUCUCCAGCGUGGUGGCGAUGUGCGCCAUGUGCAUCCGCAUGUGGACAUAAAGUAACCUUGGACACCGGGAAAGACUGUUUUGAUUCUCGUCCUUCUUCCAUCACCCCAUUCAAGACUUUGAAGCUUCAGUUUUCAUCUAUAGUGCUUUUUUAGCUGAUUCAUUAAAUGGUGUAUUUAUCCAUGCACAAGUUACUUCAAAUGAAUAACAUCUGGCAAGGACAUAACAGAACCACAAAUUUCAGUGAGGUUUAGUACAGCAAUAGGUGUUGGGUGACAGAACAAAUGUUUUAACAUUUGCAUGAAAUGCAGCUCUAAAAUAUUCAUAAUUACCAUAUUUUCCAGACAAUAAGUCGUGGCUUUUUUUUUUUUUUUUUAACUAGUUUUGGAGGUCCUACAACUUGAUGACAUGUAUGUGGAAAAAAAUACUGCAAUAUGCUCUAUGACACGUGAAGUUGCUCUUGUAGAUUGAAUCACUGUUAUUCACAGUCCAGAGCAGAAGGUGGCAGCACUAAAGUUCAUGCCCACCACCAUAAAGAAGGAAAAGGCACUGAAUAUGAAAAAUCAUUUGUUUAUAAUAUAAUAUAAUAUAUAAUAAUCAUGUUCUCAAACUGAAAGACCACACUCUUGAAUAUAAAUAUCGGAAUAUAACCUCCACAAUACUCCAUCACUUGUUUGGAUUGUGUGAGACAACAAUUUCAAUUUAUGAAUUUAUAUAGGCCAUCUCAUGACAGAGUAGCCCCAAGGCAACAGCAAGUCAAUUAGGCUCAGCUAUAGUAAGGGCAUUUUACAAGUGUUUCACAAAACAGUUUUUAAAUGUUUAAUUACACUCCAUGCUCCUCACCAUUGAUCAUUUGUUCAGUGGCAACAAGAAGCAGUUUAUUAAAGUUUUUAUACUUCAUACAGUAACAUUAUUUAGCCCAGUAGCAUCCGCUUGCUAAUGCAGUGAUUGCAUCAUACAAUGUGCCUAGUUUACAAACCUUUAAUUACAUUGCACAUUUACAUCAUUUAUAAUAAUUUGUUCAGUGGCAACAAGAAGCCAUUUACUCAGUUCUCUUUGCCCCGUACAGUAACAUUAAUUAGCCCAUUAGCUUCUGGCUACUGAUGAGGCAUUUGCAUUCUAAAUAAGUAAUGCACCAAUUCAAUUCAUUGUGUGUCUUGUUGCAUGAAGCGGGAGUACCAUGUUUCAAAAAUAAAUAUGCCUUAAACACCAGUGUGACUUGUAUAUGGAUUUAGACAUAUGCAACUAACACUCCAGUGUGACUUAUAGUCCGGAAAACAUAGUAAUUUCUUUUUUUUAAAUAAUGUUGCCCAUUGACUUCCAUAUUAUUUGUACUUUGUCAAAACUGCACCACUGCUUGCACUUUAACUUGUCAAGCAGGGUUGGGUGGGAUUACUUUGAAAUGUAAUCCAAAAGUAAUCAGAUUACAAGUAAUCCAAAUGUAUGUACAUACAUACAUGUAAUCCACAUGUAUUCUUUCAAAGUAAUCCUACCCAACCUUGUUGUCAAGGACAAAUAAACAGGACUGUUGGGUCUUGGUGGAGGUAUGGGGUUCCUGAGCACCCUCUUGCUUACACUUUCUGUGAAACUACAGAGUCAGUUCGUAUAAAAGUACAUUUCUGAUUAGCAGCCUCUCAAUUGGAUUUUUUUUUUUACAGAGCAGAGAAUACAAGAUUUAUCUUCUUUCUGUUGCUUUUUGUUCAUGUAAAAUUAUUAUGUAAGUAGGGAAUGAAUGAAUGAAAUGACAAAUGAGUGAAAUAAACAAAUGAAGGAAGUGUGUAUUUUUGGUCAAAGAAAUGUAACCAGUUGUACUUGAGACUCAGUAAGAUGUUUUUAAUAUUACAUAAUAAAAAUGUGAAAUAGAAUGUG